AAGUCGUAACAAGGUUUCCGUAGGUGAACCUGCGGAAGGAUCAUUACCGAUUUUAGCGGACCUGAUCCUUUGAUCAUGGUCUCGCGAAAACUUGUAUUUAAAACCCCACUCUUAUAAAUUGAAUCAUUUUAUAUGUAUAUAAUAAAUAAAGAUCACUUUCAACAACGGAUCUCUUGGCUCUC
This 182-nucleotide unclassified non-coding RNA is filed under the name Rhizophagus sp. (in: glomeromycetes). RNAcentral's name for it is "Rhizophagus sp. (in: Fungi) partial internal transcribed spacer region". The stretch from base 1 to 46 matches the Rfam family "Eukaryotic small subunit ribosomal RNA", at positions 1786 to 1831 of the family's 1831-position model. Lineage: Eukaryota; Fungi; Glomeromycota; Glomeromycetes; Glomerales; Glomeraceae. The record is from RNAcentral.